UUUCAACCUUGACCAGAGGUUUUCAUAAUGAAUGCAGCAUCCCUGGGGAGUGAUCUGAAGCUGGCGAGGCAAUGAGAACACCCUGGCAGGGCAGCUGAGCUGGGUGGAUCCUUGUUCUGUCACCAAGCCUUUAAGUCAUAUGCUGACAUGUUACAGUCCUGCCUGGGACCCUGCCCACAAAUACUUAAGAUACACGACUUUGGGAAUCACCCAACUGAUGGAAAGAACCAGGAAAGGGGUCAGGAUCUGCACCUUGGCAAACUUUGAAGAACACCCAAUUUGAUGAAUGAAAACUCCUCACUUGUGCUCUGGUGGUGUUUUAGGACAAUGGGCCCCUCCUGGGUGUAGGGACAGAUCAGAAGAUUCUGGAAAAGGCAGAUCACCAAAGAACUCAAGAUGUACUGAUAUUUUGCCAGUUUCCUUCAUCAACAACUUGUCUUCUUUACCAACUAAGGGCAAACAAAGAGAACAAACUAAAAAAAAAAAAAAAAGAAAAGAAAAGAAUUAAAUAAUUAAACAAAGAACUUAAAUAAGAAGAAAGGUUGUACCUGCCUACAAGAUUAUCAACACCAUGUGAGAACAUCCACUUUGCUGAACUCUUUCUCACAUAUCACCUUUAGAGAUGUUACAUGGU
RNAcentral lists this long non-coding RNA (634 nucleotides) under Homo sapiens (human). RNAcentral describes it as "HSALNT0298431". Lineage: Eukaryota; Metazoa; Chordata; Mammalia; Primates; Hominidae. The record is from RNAcentral.